This 494-nucleotide ribosomal RNA is filed under the name uncultured bacterium. RNAcentral describes it as "partial 16S ribosomal RNA". It matches the Rfam family "Bacterial small subunit ribosomal RNA", at positions 28 to 507 of the family's 1533-position model. The record is from RNAcentral.
GACGAACGCUGGCGGCGCGCUUAACACAUGCAAGUCGAACGGAAAGGCCUGCUUUCCCUUGUGGAUUGCGGGUACUCGAGUGGCGAACGGGUGAGUAACACGUGAGUGAUCUGCCCCCAACUUGGGUAUAAGCCUGGGAAACUGGGUCUAAUUCCCGAUAGGACUGCAGGGUGGUGCCUGUGGUGGAAAACGAUUUUCUAGUGGUUGGGGAUGAGCUCGCGGCCUAUCAGCUUGUUGGUGGGGUAAUGGCCUGCCAAGGCGGCGACGGGUAGCCGGCCUGAGAGGGUGGACGGCGACAUUGGGACUGAGAUACGGCCCAGACUCCUACGGGAGGCAGCAGUGGGGAAUAGUGCACAAUGGGCGGAAGCCUGAUGCAGCGACGCCGCGUGGGGGAUGACGGCCUUCGGGUUGUAAACUCCUUUCGACCGCGAGGAAGCCACCUGGUUGGAAGGGUGGUGACGGUAGUGGUAGAAGAAGCACCGGCUAACUACGUG